GAAAAUCCAAUUGAAGUCUCUCUUGGUUGUACUGCCUCAAUAUAGCUAGUGACUUCACCUUCUCAUGCCUGCUUUGUCUUGUGGGCAGACAAAAAAAACGAACAGCAGAACAAAAGCCAUGUCCUUUUUCUGGUGCCAUCUGAAUAGAGAUUGUUCUUCUUGUGCAUGCUUCUUGCUUAGGAAAUCACUCCUUGUUUGGACAUCACUUAGUGUUACAGUGUAUCUUCUCUGCGCAUUGCAUUCAUCCGACACAGUGAAUUCAAAGGUCUGCAUUUCUUCUGAAUCAACUUUCCAGAUAAGAAGGCCAGCGGGAGAGAGCCUGGCAUCCUGUGGCCCAGCCUCUAAGAUGAAUAGCACAGCUGACCCUUCCGGAUCCACCGCUGUUAACUGGCAAGAAGAACAUGAUUGUGAAACUGAUCUAUGCUGGGAGAGGAAGGAAGAGUGCUCUAUCUGGAUAUGUAGCCUUAGUAUUUUGAUCCACAAUUGAAUGUUAAUAGUGAAUUUUGAAAAGCACGUUAAAUGGAUGGAAACAUCUCAUUACAAUGAUUUCUAAGUAUCUCAUUUUUUUAAAUCACUCCUGGCUGAGAAUAAUUGAUUCAGCCAAGUAGCAUCCAUUGCUUUUCUUUCC
Molecule: non-coding RNA, 628 nt
Organism: Coturnix japonica (Japanese quail)
Lineage: Eukaryota; Metazoa; Chordata; Aves; Galliformes; Phasianidae
Source: RefSeq, a predicted model, not a curated record